Rattus norvegicus (Norway rat) is the source of this 11490-nucleotide non-coding RNA. The record is from RefSeq and is a predicted model, not a curated record. Lineage: Eukaryota; Metazoa; Chordata; Mammalia; Rodentia; Muridae.
ACUGUGAGUCUGAGGCUGCCCACCUCUGACUUGAAUCUUUUGGGACCUGUUCAAAGCUUCCUGCUUUUUUUUUUUUUUUUUUUUUUUUUUUUUUGCCAUACCGGGUGAGGAGGGCAGGAGAAGAGAGGGAGACAGCAGUAUCUUGAAGACUUGAGCCCCAACGUGGCUUCUUCCUGGCUGUGCAAACAUGGGAGGAGUCUUUUGUCUUCUCUGGGCUUUCUCUGUAAUUUGAGCCUCCUCAAUGACAACAAAGCCUAUCAACUCCCCAUGCCCUUCGCCUUGGCUUCAAAGAGGUACAGAGACGCGCUCAGCUUGAGAGCAGGUGAACAGCUCGCACAAUCCCUGUGCCACAGUGUGGGGCAUGAACAUCAGCUCUCUCGCAUGCGCAGAACCUGUCAGGAAAAGAAGCAGAGGUAGAAGGUUUGGAGUAAACACUGCCAUCCGUGGAAUCCAUUUGGUGCUACCUCCCUAUCCACUUUCUGCCAUCAUGCACUGUCACCUAGAAACUUCCCUUUGCCUCUCUGAGACUCAGUUUCCUUCUCUGGAAAGUAUUAUAGUUCCUAGCACUGUAUCAAAUGCUCCAUCUGGAGAAUCUCAUUUGCCCUCAAGUCUGUGAUGAGGUAGGCGCUUUAGUCCUAGCUUCUACAUGAAGACAUCAACUGACAGUCACGUAGAUAGUUCUAGUGUUGGCUUACAGACAAUUCCACUAGGCUCAGACCGACAGCUACCUAGCGACAGCUAGCCUAGUGGCUUGCCCGCUGUGAGCCAGGUGUCUAAGAGGGACUGCUAGGUUACUCCAAUUCUCUCUCCCCCUUAUCUCCCAUUCUCUGUCUCCUCUCCUUCUCUCUCUUCCUCUCCUGUCCAUCGCUUCCUCCCUCCCCCCUUUUCUCUUUCCAUCUUCCUUCUCUCUCUGUUCUCAUGUGUUUCUGGUCAGCUUCUUCCUCUCUCCCUUUUCUCUCUCCUUCCUUCUCCGUCUCCCCAUCUCUGCCGCUGUCCCUUUCUAGGCCCUGCUCCUUUCCCCUGAAAAAAAUCUUUAUUUUAGGUUUGUUGCCCAUGGUGAGAUUCCUUGGGGAAACAUUUUGCAGGGCCUGCUGAGGGGCUCCCUUCCACUGUAAUUAUACAACAUUAUAAAACACAAUAAGUCUAUAACAUUUGAAACCAAGUCUUUGAAACUCAAGACCUAUAUUGCAGGACUUUCAGGAGUCCUCUCCGUUUAUAAGACACCGAGAUCUCUGCAUUGUCACUGCUCUGCUUCUAUCUUACCAUCCUUCUGCCCCAGCCGAAGCAGCCAGCUCUUUAAAAGGAAAAGCCACGUUCCUUUCUGAAUCAAAAAGGCUGUUAGCAUCCUGGAAGAACUUCCCCAGUUCACUCAUUCGGAGCCAAUCAACAACAGGACGAUCUUAGCGUUACCUUUUGGCCAGAUUGAGAGCAGUGUGACCUUCUGGGAGCUCCCCAGGGCAGCUUGCUUUUUAACAUGGAAUCUCAGAGAAUCCUUUUUUUGGGCAGGUGAGGAAGUAACCAACAUUUACAUAUCCUGCCAGCCCCGGGUGCUGCCAGCACAACAAUUAGCAAUUGAGAACACAGGGCACAGCCACAGAACCAUUUGAUAUUCUGUCAUCCCAACAAAGACCCAAUAAUCCCCACCUCUACCCACUGUAGCUCCUAAGUGCUGACUCCUGUCAGUUACCCAAGCAGACACUGUAAUGUUAGCUCAAGCCAUCAACUAGGAUAAACCCCACACACCUUAAGAUUAAGAUUUAGGAGUCAAUAAAGAGGUCUCAGAUUUUGUUUGUAAGUGACAUGUCUAGACAAUUUAGUUUAUUCUUCAACAGUGACGGAAGGCAACGCGAAUUGCUGUGUCAGAAAAACUCAGAGACUUCAAUAGCUUAAAACAAUCACGUACGAUGUCUAACUCACCGAAUAAGGGGCACCAGCAUGUCCCUGUGAUAGAGGAAAGGAGGGCUACAUCAGCCAGACUCUCACAUGCCUCAGCCUACCAUCUUAUUAGUCACCACUGGUCAUGUGCCCCCCUUCAGCUUACUGGGAGGUUGGGGACACAGGAGAAUGCACGGAUUCUAGGUUUGGCCAUAGCCUGCCUUAUUAGGUCCAGGUCCUCACGCACUCUGUGUUCUCUGGGGGCUGAUGGAGAAGCCAGGCUGAGAUGUCCUUCAAAGGCUUGAAUAAGUAGAGUAAUGCCAGGGUAGCUCAGAUAGAAAGAGAACUGAGUAGGAAAAGCACAGAUUUCCAGUUGAGAAUAUUCUUUCUAAGUGAGAUUGUGUAAGGGUCUGAAAAUGGUGAAAGGAAGACCCCAGACUCAGAUAGAGUCCAAAGACAAAGAGCAUUCCGCAGAAACAGCCAGCAUGCGGGGGUCAACCAUUCUCUAAAAUAGGGACCCCAGAAAAAAGCAAGCAGACUACUUUAUAGGGAACAGGGGGAACUCUCUUGAAGGAUUAGGUAAUGUAAAAUUUCAUUGGUGGGUGCUGGGGGAGUCACAGGUGAUCAGUGGUCUACAUUCCUAUGUCAUGAGCAUUCAACCAUGUGAUGAAAUAGGGCUGCCCAUUGUAGAUGGUCCAUCCCGAGAUAAGAUAUUUCCCUAUUUUUGUGCUUAUCCCCAGGCUGUUCUUUGGGAGGGGGCUUUAUGAUCUUGUUCUGGAUUUUAUGGUCUGUUCCUGGAGCUGGUGCCUUAUGACUUAGUUUCUGGGAUUUAUGGUCUAUUCUUGAAGCUGGUGCCUUUUUGAAAUCAGACCUGCCCUUAAAAUGGAGACAGACAAAGGGGGUUUAUACUGUCCUUUCAAUUGCUAAUUUAAUCUUAUUUUGUCAUAUAGGACUAUAAUGAACGUUGAGGAAUUUCCUUCCACCCCAUCCAUCCCAGUUUUCCUUUUUCCACAUGUCCCUUUGUUUCCCCAGAUAACUCCAUUUUUACUUUCACUUCAUAAAUACUACUAUGAUUUAUAUAAGAUCUGGGGCCCCAAAAUCAGAAAAAAAUGAAGAAUAUUUGUCAGAGAUUGGCUUACUUAGCUCUCUGUGAGCUAAUUCUCUCCAGUUGUCCGAUUUUCUUACAAAUGAUUUACUGUUUGAUUUCAGACCCCGGGACAAGGGACUAAGAGGCAUAUUUUACAUAUCAAAGCAGACCUCGAUUCCAGGUUCUCCCAGCAUCCCUCAGUCCCAACCUGGCAUACCUUGCCUCCAACCCUGAACCCAGAGGCUGGGCUGCCCUUCCCCUGAGAGGCUUUUGCCUAUAUAAUCUAGACAUUUUAGGCUCGCUCUCUUUCUCUUCCUCUUACCUCUCUCACGCUCCCUCUUUCCUCUCUCCAAGUGCACAGUGAUCUUUCUCUUUCUGCCCCCUCUUCUCUCUUUCUUCCCAUGUGGACUUCCUGGCCUCCUCCCUUGGAGUCAUUGAACUUACCUGCCUUAAAGCAGCUUCCCAGUAAACCUGCAUUUAAUAUUUUCUAAUGUAGCUUGAAUUGACUCAUUUCACCGGCAGCAGAGAAAUAGCUAUCAGAUGGUCCCGAAUGGGUAAGUCUGUCAUUUUAAUGGACACAUAGGCCAUUUAGAUUACAGUAUAUCCUUCUGAGGUCUCUGGAGAGUUUGAAUACUAAGCAAGUGAAAGAAGGGAAUUUUUCAGUUCCUUUAGAUAAAAGAGCUCAGUCUGUAAUGACUGAUCCCAGUGAUCCACCACCUGUGUCUCAUGAUGAACAAUUUGGAUAGGAAAAGGUGUAAGGUUUAACGUUUAUAUCUGAGGAUAUGAAAGCUUCUGAGAAAAUGUUGGAGGGUUUAGGUGUUUGGUAAUGGAAGUUAUGAAGGUUAGAGGAUGUGAAAAAUUUAGAUGGUGGUAGGAAAGUGAUAAUCUUUUUGUAAACUUAAUUCUUGUAAGCUUCAGGGAAUCCACUUAAAUUUGCCUCCCACAUUCACAGGGACUACAGAUGAGUACUGUCAAUUGGCUGCCUGUUUCUCUCCCUCCCUGCCUGUUCCUGAGGGUGGCAUCUAUCCUCCUUUCCUUGGACCUGGGACCAAACCCCUCCUUCAGCUCCUAAGACCAUGGGCCUAAGAGUUUCAAAUAUAUACCCAAGAAAAAAGUUUUCUCCCUAAACUCCUUUAACUUUACCUUCUACCCCUAACAUCCAGAUGUUUCCUUGAAGUCUGAGUUACCCACGGGUGCCUCGGUCUAGACGAACAGACUGCUUCACCUGGGCCUGCAUACUACCACCCUCAGAUGUCCCACCACUUGGAGAGCAGUGAAACCACCAGCCCUUCCAGGACUUGACCAACAUUGCAGAUUUCGCCCCACCCCAUAGCGGUGCCUCAGUGUCAGCAGGAAGUAGUCAUAGAUGAUUAUGUCUCUCCUUAUUCAUUUAUUAUCAAUAAAACGUUAGAGUGUUUGGUUUCAGACCCUGGGACAAGAGACCGAAGUUCAGAUCUAAGCAGACCUGGCUUCCAAGUUCUCCCAGCAUCCCUCAGUCCCCAUCUGGCAUACCCUGCCCCCAACCUUGAACGUUCCAGCCCAGGGACGGGGCUGCCCGUCCCCCAGAGCUCCCUUUCAUUAGGUUUCUCUCUCUCUCUCUCUCUCUCUCUCUCUCUCUCUCUCUCUCUCUCUCUCUCUCCCCCUCUCUUCCCCACUCUCCCCCAUGCUCCCCUUUCUCUGCCCUCCUCCCCAUGGUGACUUCCCUGACCUUGGUCCUAGAAGCCGAUGAACUCGCUCACCCGAGACCAACUUCCCAAUAAACCUGUAUUCAAUGGAAUCUAAUCUGGUUUGAAUUGGCUCACUUCGCUUGUGUGGGCAUGAUUUAUCAUUUGCCUUCAUUCUUGUUUAUGGGUGAAGUUUCAUUGCCUAUGUGUGUACCUGCUUUCUUUAUCCCUUCCUCUGUUGGUGCAUACCUACAUUGGUUCAUUACUUAGAGCCUGGUUCCUCUCAGACUGAGUCACUGAAGCAUGCCUCUCUGCCCUACGCACCAUUCAGUUCAUCUCUGAGAACUCUUGGGACAGUGAGAGCCAGAGUAAGAAACUGAGUUUGGAAAUGGACAGAGAGGUAAAAGCAUCUGUCGGGAAUUAAGAUCAGUGACGACUGCUCACUCAUUUUGGGAACUAGAAGGAUUUUGAUUCUUUUCAUAAUCUGUUUGGAAGACGGGAAUGUCCCUCUGCUCAGCCCACGGUCAUCAGUGACUGGCCACCCUGUACUUGGGUAGGCACCUCAUUCAAAAGAACCUAUCUGAAGCUGAAAGUGUCCUUCAGGAUUGGGAGAAACUACGUGAUUAAAAAGAAAGUUUAAUUCUGGAAGUUUGAACAAGGACCAAAGAAACCUCUAAAAACCCUUUCGGGUGACUUGGUCUUCAAAGAACACGGACACAUGCCAGCUGGGCUUUCUCUGUCUGGAGACUGACAACGCCUUUGCCUUUUUAAUUUCUCAGAACUUUCCUUAUUUCUGAAUGGUUCAAAUUAAAAGAAAGGGGAAAUAAGAGAACGCCAUUUGAGAUACUAGUGUAACCUCCAGAGGGCAGUAACUUUUCAAACUUUCCAGAAAGCUGCUCGAAAUGUAUUUUCCUAGAUUAAGAAAUAUUCUUCUCCUAUAGAUGCAGUAAUUCCACUUCAGAAAUUUAUCCCAAGGAAAUAGUCACACUGAGAACAAAUUAGACAUAUACAAGGAAUCUCAAGAAGGCAUUAUUUGUUAUAAUGAGACUCUGGCAAUAAUCUACACGUUCAAUAGGAGAAUAAAAAGGUGAUUAUGGUAUAACCAUAUGACAAUACUAUUCAGCUAGUUAAAAUAAUGCUUUGGAUCCUUUUUGUGAAGCAGGCAAGGCUGGCUGAGCUCUGCAGCUUAUGAGCUAUGUAAAAGAGACACAUGCUAUACGGUGACAAUAGCAUUCAAACCAUAAUAAACUGGAAGGAUUACUCUUGGUGUUUAUAUCUUUAUAUAUUCCUUGUCAUUAAUGCUUUCUUCAAUAUGCCUAUAUUGUUUUUCUAAUUUACCAAAGAGCAAGUUAGAACCAUACCUAUUUGGAGGUGUCUUUGCAUGUUGUUGUAAAAAUAUAAAAAUAAAAAAAGUAUAGUUGUCUUUUACCUUAGGUCCGCACCGCAGUGCCUCAAGAUAUCUGCUAGACAUCUUGGAAACGCAUCCCAACUCCGUGGUGGCCCAGUGUCUCUUGCCGAUACAUACUUUCCUACACUCAAACCGUCACAUAAAAGAACACACAACACAAUAAUCUUUGACUCAAUUGGUAAGAUAUAAUUGCCCACCUAAAUAUACAAAACCAAGUACCAUCCAUCCCUUAAGAACAUUUGUAACAACCUAUAAAGGUACAGUGUGGAAUCUUUUUUUUUCUUUUUUUCGGAGCUGGGGACCGAACCCAGGGCCUUGCGCAUGCUAGGCAAGCACUCUACUGCUGAGCUAAAUCCCCAACCCCUACAGUGUGGAAUCUUAACAUGACCUGCCAUAUUGUCAGGCCACGGCUUCUCUCCUUCUCCUCCUGUCUCUUCCUCCUUUCUGUUCCAGUCUCCUCCCUUCCUUCAAACUUCUCUCCUGCCCAUCCUUCCUUUUCCUCUAAUGACAGGCCUCCUUCUAUCCUGUACCUGCCCCUCACCUGUGUUUUACAAAUUCAAUGGGGAGAAGUUUCUGGUGAAGUCACCUGAUUCCUGGGUACUGACUAGGCAACUAUCCUUGGGGCAGUGGAAUUAGCAUCAAAAUACAGAUAACUCCAGGGCAAACCACAACAUUUGCAUGCCUAGAUUACAUCUGAAAGGCCUCAGCCAGGAACUUUCUUUGUGCAGUGGAAGGUGAUUAACUCUGUAGCUCACUACUAGUCAAAGGGCAAAGAAUAAGAAUCUGCAUUGUUCAGCCACUGAGAUGGCACCUAUCUCCGCCCUCCAAGGCCCAGGGAUAGGAAGAGUGAGAGGUGGGAUAGGAAGACUGAGAGGUGAAGGUUAUAACAGGACCAAAACAUUCAUGAACGCACAGCAGCUGUGGCUACCUGCAUCAGUUCAAGCCUGUCAGCACCCCAGUUUGUGUGGGGAAGGAGCCCAUGAGCCCCCACUCCUAACUGAGGAGCUACUGGCAGUUGAUGGCUUCUGGGGAAGAGGGAGACAGUUUAAUUUAUGGGUGUGACACAUGCUUGGUUGACAGUGCUUCAGCACAUGCCUGAUACAGGUUUAUAUUGGUAGUAUAAAUUUGAAUUAAUGGGCUAUAAAGAAAAAGAGGACAGAGUUGAGGGCAUAGGGCUGGAGAGGGCGUCAAUAUGAUCAAAUAUAUGGUGUAUAUGUUGAGAUUCUCAAAAAUUAAUACUACCUUAAAAAUACAUAUUUAACUUGAAAAGACAAAUUCUAUUUCUUUUGUUGAAAUGCUGGCCAUGGAACAUUGUAGGCAACUACUCUACUACAUAGUAGGCAAAAACCCCACUGAUACUGAAUUAGGGAGCCUACCUAGGUCUAAACUAUGUCCUCUUUAUUUAUAUGUUAUAGUAGUGAACCUUGAUGUUUUGGUAGGACUCCUAAUAGUGGGAGUAAGGACUGUUUAUGGUGUUUUUGUCUACUUUUGCAACCAUUGUCCUCCUUCUUGGUCGGUCACCUCAUGCAGCUUUAAUAUGAGGGGUAGUGCCUAAUCUAAUUGCAACCUGAUACCCCACCUUUGGUUGAUAUCCCUGGGAGGCGUGUUCUUUUUUUGAGGAGAAAUUGAGGAGGAAUGGAGGGAAGAAAGAAGGUAGAAGGGAUGGAGGAGGUGGGGAACCUAAGGAGGAAGGAUUUAGUGGUUUGAAUAGGAAUGGCCCUAUAGACUCAUGUGUGUGAAUGCUUGGCCCAGUACCAGGAGUGGGGUAUUGGUUGCAGUGAUAGACCUGACCAUGUUUUUGUUUGGAGCAAUGUGAAUUUUGGAAUUCUGGAUUAGGAAAGCCAUGGAUGCUUUAAAUGGGACUUAAUGGGACUUCCUAGUAGAAAUAUGGAAGACAUUAAUGCUGAAGGUGAUUGAACUGUGGGGGCCUGACUCAAAUGGUUUCAGAGAAGGAUCUGAGUAUGUUGCCUAGAGACUAUUUUCAUGAUAUUUUGAUAAAGAAUGUAACUGCUUUUUGCUCCUGUGUAAAAAGUCUGUCUUAGGCUUAAGUGAAGAGUUUUGGAAUAAUUCUGUUAGCAGAGGAAAUUUCAAAACAGCCUAGUAUUGACUCUGUUGUGUGGUUAUUUGUGUUUGGCCUUAUGAAGAUUUAUAAUGAAAAGGAGCAAGUUGAACAAGUAAAAACACAAAAGAUACAGAUUGAAGAGAAAAGGGAUACCAAAAAGUAGAACAGAGUUAAGUCCUGUGUUCAAGUAGAAAAACAGAUUAAGAAAUGGAAAAAGGGGAGUGAUGACCUCAGGGAAAGACCCUUCUCAACUAAGCUUACAACUUAUGAAAAGCUUUGGUCCAGGUAUGGUGGUGUACAUCUUUAAUCCCAGCACUCAGGUGACAGAGGCAAGCAGAUCUCUGAGUUCAAGGCCCACAGAGCCUACAGAGCAAGGCUUCAGUUGAGGGUCUACAGAGCAAGUUCCAGAGUACCUAAGCUUAUACAGUGUAAGAAACCAUCAAAAACUGAAAGCUGGUGAUGAUGUAAUUGAACAAGGGGCCCAUGUUCCAUCCUGGGCAAGCAGCAGAACUUGACAGUUUCAGCCACAUGGUUCUGGCUUUAGACUCAAGGAUAGAAGAAAAGAGUUAUGGGAUCUCUCUUCACAACUGAGGAAAGCUAGUGAGCCCAAGCAUAUGUUAGGGGUAUCCUUUUAUGGAGACCCAGAGAAACCAUUGUGUGAAGCUGAGAAGGUGAAGCCUGGAUUGACUUAGUGACCCCAAGAUAUUGGAGAUGCCAGAGCCAUGGGAUACCUAUUGAGGAAAGCUGCUGACAUGAAGUGGAGCCAGUUGAAGAGAAAGAAGUGUGUUGCAAUCAACAAACCUGAAAAGAGUUGGAGAUCCGAAGAGCAUUUUGACACCAGACACGGAGAUAAAUAGUUUAGAGUUUGCUCAGUCGUCUUUAGUCUUGCUUUUUCAGUAUUUCUCACUCUACUCCCUUUUGGAAUGGUCAUGUAUAUCCUGUACCACUGUAUGUUGGAAAUAUAUGAUCUGCUUUUUCAUUUUUACUUUACAGAAGAUUACAGUUAAGAGAUUAUAUAAUCUCAGAAGAGACUUUGAACUUUAGACUUUUAAACAGGGUUGAGACUACUAAAGAAUAUGGAUUCUUUUGAAGUUGGACUGAAUGCAUUUCUAAAAUGUGGUACGGCUACAAGCCUAUGAGGGCAAUGAAGUGGAAUGUGGUAGUUUAUUUAGAAAUGACCUCCAAACACUUAUGUGCAUGAAUGCUUGGCCAUAGGGAAUGGCACUAUUAGGAGGUGUGUCCUUGUUGAAUGAGGUGUGUCAUUGGGGGCAGGCUUUGAGGUAUUAUAAGCUGAAGUCUGGCUAUUGUGUCACUGUCUCUCCUUGCUGCCUGCAGAUGGAUCAAGAUAUAGAACUCUCAGCAACUUCUCCAGCAACAUGUCUGCCUAUAGACAUCCAUGUUUCCCAUCAUGAGGAUAAUGGACUGAACUUCUGAAACAAUUUCGGUGUCUUCCAAAAGCUGUGAUUCCUCAGUCAGUGUUCCCGCUCUAACAGACUUCGCUGUGUGUAGAUUUAACAGCUGUCUGCUUCCGUUUGUGUUAUGUAUCUUCGUGAGUUAGACGCAUGAUGUAGUCUGGAAGACAAACAGCGUUUUGCCAUCUCUUGCAUUGAAAAACUCAUUUGCAGACUAAUCUGUAGAUAUGGGGUGCACCCAAGUCUUAGAAUGGCACACGGUAUGCGAGGCUUUUCCUAUAUCUCACUUCUCAUCUGAGAUGUAGCCUAGAAGACCAAAAUGCCAGGGCAAGGUCCAACCUCAAAGACCCCUGUUGUGUGACUUUCUUUGGGGAGUUGCGAGUAAAGGUCUCUUUACCCCAGGGAAGUCACUAGUAAUGAACUAACGAAAGAAUUUCAUUGAAGUCCUUAGUGACCCAAUGAGUCUAGUGGACGAUGGAUGACUCAAAGGCAGCUGCAUUGCCAAGAAUAUUACCCCACUGGGGGGGAUGACUCCCAGAAACUGCAUCUGUGGAAUUCCCUGUGCCACCUGCAUGUGGCUCAGCUGCCUGGAAACUCUCCUCUCCCUAGCAACUUUUACUGUUUGUAUUCUCUGGGAGGGACCUUGUGAAUCUUGUAACCUCCAGGAGCUUCCUGAGACUUGUUGGAGUUUCUUCUUUAGUCUUAAGGGAUCUCCUUCCAAGAGUGACUGGCUCAAUUUAGGUAGAGAAAGGAGCUACACAACACCCCUUUGUCAUGAAGAGUUCAGAUGGCUAUGGAUGGUUUCAUCUAUUUGGGACAUUGCUUCAGAGACUUGAAAAUGAAGGUAGUAGAAGCAGCUUGGGGAGUUGAGUCUAAAAGUCUGGGUCUCAGAUCUCAGCCCUUACAGACCACAUUUUAGCAUCCAAGAAUUGGGGAACUCUUGGUCUUUUCAAAGCUCACCUUAAAGAUGGUCACCUCUAGGGUAGUGGUCAUUCUUACCUUCAGAAUUUUGAGGACCAAGGGACAUUCAAGUUUCAUUUCUUGAUGUGAUACCAUACCCAAACAAAAAGCUAGUUAGAGGAGAAAGGGAGGAGUUAUUUUUGCUUAUAGUUCUAUCAUUAUAGCAAGGUCACAACAGUGGAAGCAUGAAGCAACUAGCCACAUCACACCCAUAGACAAGAGCAAAAAGAAAUAGAUUUAAUGCAUACUUAGCUCGCAGCCAGAUUUCUGUACUCUUAGGCAGUCUAAGUUCAAAACCUGGGAAAACUGGAACCACCUACUUUCAGGCUGCAUUUUCCCACAUCAGUUAAGGCAAUCUCCCACAGACAUGCAUCAGGCCAACUUGAUCUAGGCAACCCCUCAUUGAAACUCUCCUCCCUGUGAUUCUAGACUCUGUCAAGUGCACAAUUAAAUCCAACCAUCAUGAGGAAGAUGGUACAUUGAACAUGUUCUCCUUGGAGAUACACAGUACAGCGAACACUGAAAAGUUCUGAUGAUCAAGAAUACCCUAUGCUUGCUCUAUCCAAUAGGUCCUUCUGUGAUGAUCACAACGUGGUCAACUGACAUUUUCCAGCCUUGUUCCUAUCAGUCGCAGGAAGCUGUCAAGCACUUGAAAGGUGGCGAGUGAGUAAGGGAUUGAACAAUUCUUAGAUUCAUUUAUCUGAUAACAGAUGUAAUUCCCUUCCUCAUGCUUGGCUGUAAGUAUCGAGUGCCGAUUGCUUGGUUGAUUGAUUGACUCAUUCAUUCAUUCACUCAUUCAUUCAUUCACUCAUUCAUUCAUUCACCCUCCCUCAGAUGUAGCAUCUGAACAUUGGAGAAAACCCAGGAAAACUAUCAAAAUCAGCUUCUUCAUAAUUAAACCCACAGCCUACUUUGCUUUUAACAAACGUUUGUGAUCCUUAGGCAUAUCACCAUGUAUUAAUUCCUAUGACUGGACAGCAAAUUGAUAUAAACUUUAGUGGAUUAAAUUUAUUAUUCUCAUG